AGAUUGAACGCUGGCGGCAUGGCUAAAACAUGCAAGUCGAAUGCGAACGGGGGCAACCCCUAGUAGAAUGGCGAAAGGGCGAGGAAUAAAUUCCUACGUACCCUGAGGUCGGGGAUACCUCGGAGAAAUCCGAAUCAAUACCCGAUGUGGUCCGAGAGGAUCAAAGGUUUACUGCCUCAGGAGCGGGGAAUUUCCUAUCAGGUAGUUGGUAGGGUAAUGGCCUACCAAGCCUAAGACGGGUAGCGGGUGUGAGAGCACGGCCCGCCGCAUCGAGACUGAGACACUGCUCGGACUCCUACGGGAGCUGCAGUAACGAAUCUUCCGACAAUGCGACGAAAGCCGUGACGGGGGCAAU
This 355-nucleotide ribosomal RNA is filed under the name uncultured soil bacterium. RNAcentral describes it as "bacterial SSU rRNA". It matches the Rfam family "Bacterial small subunit ribosomal RNA", at positions 26 to 395 of the family's 1533-position model. The record is from RNAcentral.